RNAcentral lists this non-coding RNA (31 nucleotides) under Mus musculus (house mouse). The record is from RNAcentral. Lineage: Eukaryota; Metazoa; Chordata; Mammalia; Rodentia; Muridae.
UGAGACAAGUUGUUUGCAGAUCUUUUAGUGG